This is a long non-coding RNA of Nannospalax galili (Upper Galilee mountains blind mole rat), 303 nucleotides long. RefSeq lists it as uncharacterized. Lineage: Eukaryota; Metazoa; Chordata; Mammalia; Rodentia; Spalacidae. The record is from RefSeq and is a predicted model, not a curated record. The transcript has 3 exons.
UAUCCCACACUGGAUUCUGGGUGGAGGACACUGGCUCAAGGUCACCCUAGAUGAGUCGAUCACAAAGCUAGAUGUGGUGCUGGUGGCCCUAAAGGCUGAAGGCCAGGAUCUCCUGCUGGAGUUGGAGAAGAACCAUCCAAGGCUUUUCUGGAGUGAACAGUGCACAGUCUCUCCUAGCCUUUCCCUGAAGCAUGGUUGCCUCAUUCCAAGCUGCUCAACUAGCAUUCAGGCAGGGAGACGGAAAGGGAGCCUGGAGGAGGCAGGGCUAAAUUCAGUGACUCCUGGAACACUGCCCCCAGCAGG